Pongo pygmaeus (Bornean orangutan) is the source of this 2409-nucleotide long non-coding RNA. RefSeq lists it as uncharacterized. The transcript is spliced from 3 exons. The record is from RefSeq and is a predicted model, not a curated record. NCBI's taxonomy places the organism in Eukaryota, Metazoa, Chordata, Mammalia, Primates, Hominidae.
AUUCAGACCAGCAGCUCAAUACUGGUGGGACACACUUCCCAACUGACAAAGGGAGCAGGCUGGGGCACCCAGAAAUGACACCCACACAGAAGUCUAAGAAUGCAUAGCUGUUCCUGGCCAUAGUUCCUAUCACUCAGGAAAAAUUGUGUCUUCAGCAACUCUCUUUGGGUGCAGACCAGUGUUGUGAACUACUCACAGCAAGGAUGUAUGCCUUUGAGGUGGCACAGACCCGAUGGAUCAGACUUGGCCUCCAUCCUCCUCUUAUCCUGAUGAAAUCUCACAGCUCCAGACAACACAGAUGUAAAACUUUGACCAACAGUAAGAUGGCUUGAAGAAAUACUUCUUUCAGGACAAACUCUUUCUGCGCAUUCCAUAAGGUGGAUGGAUGGACUGAUGAGGACAAAGCCAGUGACAUCAUGAACAGGAAACAAUGUUUCUCUCAAGCUGCAGGUUUGAAAAGUCAAGCAGCCUCUUCCUUGGCUGACGACUCCUUUCUGACUCAGUGGAAGACAUUGUUCUCUAGUGCCAGGGGCUGUUAGAAACUUUGCUUAUGAGUAAGAAGAACAUCCCACUGCCUGGAUGAUCUAUAUCCACCUUUAAACAGAAGCACAGAGCUACAGAGGAGGGGUUUCUGGAUGGAACGUUCCACAUAUGGCCGGACUUUAUGGAUUCUAAGGACACAGGACCUAGGUCCACUUUGCAGACCAGAGUUGACACUGGCUGCCAACAUUGAGGCCUGCUAUGCUCUGAGUCCAUCACUACAGCCUCAAAAAUCCCUCCCCAUAGUCUUAUAAUAACCUCUUUGCUUUGUUUUUUGAAUCAUCCCAGGUUUGCUAUUGUGAAUUUAUUCCCUUUUUGCUACAAGCCAAUAAUUUUAAGUCUGUUGACUUGCAAAAUCAGCUUUGAUGACUGAUCACUCUAGGAUGUGUAUUAUUUUUCUGGAAUUUUGGAUGAUUGUAGUAUUUAUCAGGACUUUAAAAUGAGUAAUUUGUUGUGACUUAUUUCCUCUUCUUAAAUAAACACUCACUUCUGUGCUUAGUUUCUAAUUGGUUAUAUUAUGCUAUUUUUCAUGCAGAUAACCCUCUGAAUUAUGUAAGCCUCAGACCUCAUGGCACCUGGGUUGCCUCUGAUCAUAGUGCUGAAAAUCCACCUGCCCAAGGAAUGACCACACUGGUUUCUGCUUCCCAGGCCUCCAAUGGACUUACCUCUCCUUCCAGAGUGAUUUGUCUAUGCUGAAGGUGGAGUUUCUAACCUCUGUGGUUUUACUCUUUUAGCAAGAAUGUGUGACAUUAUUUUUGCUAAAGGAACUCUUAUAAUGGGCGCAAUAUUUCCAAAACAUGACCCUCAGGAGGCUUGUUUACUCCCAAAACCUGGUAGCUUCCAGAAGAGCGCAGACCUUCAGCUUGGUCCAGAAGAUGAAGACCCACAUGCUCACCUUCAAGCUUCCCUGUCCCCUGCUCCCCUCCUAGGAAACAGACACACUGGGAGAUGGUGGAGUGUUGCAGGAAGUCAGGGACCCCAAACAGAGGGACCGGCUGAAGCGAUAGCAGAAGAAUUUGGAUUGUGAAGGUUUUAUGGACAUUUAUUUGUUCCCCAAAGUAAUACUUUUGUAAUUUCUUAUGCCUAUGUUUACUGCAAUCUCCAAACAUAAAUUGGAAAGACUCCAUGGACGCUUAUCACUUCCCCGAUCAAUAGCCUUGAGCUUUCCUAUGCCUGUCUUUAAUUUAAUCUCUUAAUCCUUUCUGUUGAGGAGGAUGUAUAUCAUCUCAGAACCCUGUAAUAAUUGCAUCAACUACACAAAUUGUACAGCAUGUGUGUUUUAGCAAUAUGAAAUGUGGGCACCCUGAAAAAAGAACAGGAUAACAGCAAUUGUUCAGGGAAUAAGAGAGACAACCUUAAACUCUGACUCCUGUGAGCCAGGCAGAACAGAGAUAUAUUUCUCUUCUUUCAAAAGCAAAUGGGAGAAAUAUCACUGAAUUCUUUUUCUCAGCAUGGGAUAUCCCUGAGAAAGAGAAUGCGCACCUAGGGGUAGGUCUCUGAACUGGUCCCCCCAGGGCGUACCUGUCUCUUAUGGUUGAGACUGCAGGGGUGAAAUAAACUCCAGUCUCCCAUAGCACUCCCAGGUUUAUUAGGAAGAGGAAAUUCCCGCCUAAUAAAUUUUGGUCAGACUGGUUGAUCUCAAAACUCUGUCUCCUUAUAAGAUAUUAUCAGUGACAAUGGUGCCCAAAACUUCAUUAGCAAUUUUAGUUUCGCCUCGGUCCUGUGGUCAUGUGAUCUCACCCUGCCUCCACUGGCCUUGUGAUAUUCUAUUACCUUGUAAAGUACUUGAUGUCUGUCACCCACACCUAUUCGCACACUCUCUCCCUUUUUGAAAGUCCGUAAUAAAAACUUGCUGGUUUUUGCUGCUUA